AAAUAAUAAAAGGUUACUUUAAUUUAUAUUUUAAAGAUCAUAAAUAUACAGGAUCUAAAUUUAUAUUAUU
This 70-nucleotide transfer RNA is filed under the name Fusarium pseudograminearum CS3220. The record is from RNAcentral. RNAcentral also lists the same sequence under 4 other names. Lineage: Eukaryota; Fungi; Ascomycota; Sordariomycetes; Hypocreales; Nectriaceae.